GGUAAGGUGGCUGAGUCUUAAGCGGUGGGUUGUAGCUCCAUGGACAGAGGUUAAACUCCUCUCUUUAUCA
This 70-nucleotide transfer RNA is filed under the name Glossanodon semifasciatus (deepsea smelt). RNAcentral describes it as "tRNA-Tyr". It matches the Rfam family "tRNA". Rfam says of the family: Transfer RNA (tRNA) molecules are approximately 80 nucleotides in length. The record is from RNAcentral. Lineage: Eukaryota; Metazoa; Chordata; Actinopteri; Argentiniformes; Argentinidae.